GUUAGCUUUGGCCGCACACACACUAAAAUUGGAACGAUAUAGAGAAGAUUAGCGCGGCCCCUGCGCAAGGAUGGCACACAAAUUCGUGAAGUGUUCCUUAUUUUU
Molecule: small nuclear RNA, 105 nt
Organism: Pteronotus mesoamericanus
Lineage: Eukaryota; Metazoa; Chordata; Mammalia; Chiroptera; Mormoopidae
Source: RefSeq, a predicted model, not a curated record